This 2787-nucleotide ribosomal RNA is filed under the name Escherichia coli. RNAcentral describes it as "bacterial LSU rRNA". It matches the Rfam family "Bacterial large subunit ribosomal RNA". The record is from RNAcentral. Lineage: Bacteria; Pseudomonadati; Pseudomonadota; Gammaproteobacteria; Enterobacterales; Enterobacteriaceae.
AGCGUACACGGUGGAUGCCCUGGCAGUCAGAGGCGAUGAAGGACGUGCUAAUCUGCGAUAAGCGUCGGUAAGGUGAUAUGAACCGUUAUAACCGGCGAUUUCCGAAUGGGGAAACCCAGUGUGAUUCGUCACACUAUCAUUAACUGAAUCCAUAGGUUAAUGAGGCGAACCGGGGGAACUGAAACAUCUAAGUACCCCGAGGAAAAGAAAUCAACCGAGAUUCCCCCAGUAGCGGCGAGCGAACGGGGAGGAGCCCAGAGCCUGAAUCAGUGUGUGUGUUAGUGGAAGCGUCUGGAAAGGCGCGCGAUACAGGGUGACAGCCCCGUACACAAAAAUGCACAUAUUGUGAGCUCGAUGAGUAGGGCGGGACACGUGGUAUCCUGUCUGAAUAUGGGGGGACCAUCCUCCAAGGCUAAAUACUCCUGACUGACCGAUAGUGAACCAGUACCGUGAGGGAAAGGCGAAAAGAACCCCGGCGAGGGGAGUGAAAAAGAACCUGAAACCGUGUACGUACAAGCAGUGGGAGCCUCUUUAUGGGGUGACUGCGUACCUUUUGUAUAAUGGGUCAGCGACUUAUAUUCUGUAGCAAGGUUAACCGAAUAGGGGAGCCGAAGGGAAACCGAGUCUUAACUGGGCGUUAAGUUGCAGGGUAUAGACCCGAAACCCGGUGAUCUAGCCAUGGGCAGGUUGAAGGUUGGGUAACACUAACUGGAGGACCGAACCGACUAAUGUUGAAAAAUUAGCGGAUGACUUGUGGCUGGGGGUGAAAGGCCAAUCAAACCGGGAGAUAGCUGGUUCUCCCCGAAAGCUAUUUAGGUAGCGCCUCGUGAAUUCAUCUCCGGGGGUAGAGCACUGUUUCGGCAAGGGGGUCAUCCCGACUUACCAACCCGAUGCAAACUGCGAAUACCGGAGAAUGUUAUCACGGGAGACACACGGCGGGUGCUAACGUCCGUCGUGAAGAGGGAAACAACCCAGACCGCCAGCUAAGGUCCCAAAGUCAUGGUUAAGUGGGAAACGAUGUGGGAAGGCCCAGACAGCCAGGAUGUUGGCUUAGAAGCAGCCAUCAUUUAAAGAAAGCGUAAUAGCUCACUGGUCGAGUCGGCCUGCGCGGAAGAUGUAACGGGGCUAAACCAUGCACCGAAGCUGCGGCAGCGACACUAUGUGUUGUUGGGUAGGGGAGCGUUCUGUAAGCCUGCGAAGGUGUACUGUGAGGUAUGCUGGAGGUAUCAGAAGUGCGAAUGCUGACAUAAGUAACGAUAAAGCGGGUGAAAAGCCCGCUCGCCGGAAGACCAAGGGUUCCUGUCCAACGUUAAUCGGGGCAGGGUGAGUCGACCCCUAAGGCGAGGCCGAAAGGCGUAGUCGAUGGGAAACAGGUUAAUAUUCCUGUACUUGGUGUUACUGCGAAGGGGGGACGGAGAAGGCUAUGUUGGCCGGGCGACGGUUGUCCCGGUUUAAGCGUGUAGGCUGGUUUUCCAGGCAAAUCCGGAAAAUCAAGGCUGAGGCGUGAUGACGAGGCACUACGGUGCUGAAGCAACAAAUGCCCUGCUUCCAGGAAAAGCCUCUAAGCAUCAGGUAACAUCAAAUCGUACCCCAAACCGACACAGGUGGUCAGGUAGAGAAUACCAAGGCGCUUGAGAGAACUCGGGUGAAGGAACUAGGCAAAAUGGUGCCGUAACUUCGGGAGAAGGCACGCUGAUAUGUAGGUGAAGUCCCUUGCGGAUGGAGCUGAAAUCAGUCGAAGAUACCAGCUGGCUGCAACUGUUUAUUAAAAACACAGCACUGUGCAAACACGAAAGUGGACGUAUACGGUGUGACGCCUGCCCGGUGCCGGAAGGUUAAUUGAUGGGGUUAGCGGUAACGCGAAGCUCUUGAUCGAAGCCCCGGUAAACGGCGGCCGUAACUAUAACGGUCCUAAGGUAGCGAAAUUCCUUGUCGGGUAAGUUCCGACCUGCACGAAUGGCGUAAUGAUGGCCAGGCUGUCUCCACCCGAGACUCAGUGAAAUUGAACUCGCUGUGAAGAUGCAGUGUACCCGCGGCAAGACGGAAAGACCCCGUGAACCUUUACUAUAGCUUGACACUGAACAUUGAGCCUUGAUGUGUAGGAUAGGUGGGAGGCUUUGAAGUGUGGACGCCAGUCUGCAUGGAGCCGACCUUGAAAUACCACCCUUUAAUGUUUGAUGUUCUAACGUUGGCCCCUGAUCGGGGUUGCGGACAGUGUCUGGUGGGUAGUUUGACUGGGGCGGUCUCCUCCUAAAGAGUAACGGAGGAGCACGAAGGUUGGCUAAUCCUGGUCGGACAUCAGGAGGUUAGUGCAAUGGCAUAAGCCAGCUUGACUGCGAGCGUGACGGCGCGAGCAGGUGCGAAAGCAGGUCAUAGUGAUCCGGUGGUUCUGAAUGGAAGGGCCAUCGCUCAACGGAUAAAAGGUACUCCGGGGAUAACAGGCUGAUACCGCCCAAGAGUUCAUAUCGACGGCGGUGUUUGGCACCUCGAUGUCGGCUCAUCACAUCCUGGGGCUGAAGUAGGUCCCAAGGGUAUGGCUGUUCGCCAUUUAAAGUGGUACGCGAGCUGGGUUUAGAACGUCGUGAGACAGUUCGGUCCCUAUCUGCCGUGGGCGCUGGAGAACUGAGGGGGGCUGCUCCUAGUACGAGAGGACCGGAGUGGACGCAUCACUGGUGUUCGGGUUGUCAUGCCAAUGGCACUGCCCGGUAGCUAAAUGCGGAAGAGAUAAGUGCUGAAAGCAUCUAAGCACGAAACUUGCCCCGAGAUGAGUUCUCCCUGACUCCUUGA